RNAcentral lists this ribosomal RNA (1051 nucleotides) under Vibrio brasiliensis. RNAcentral describes it as "bacterial SSU rRNA". It matches the Rfam family "Bacterial small subunit ribosomal RNA", at positions 79 to 1129 of the family's 1533-position model. The record is from RNAcentral. Lineage: Bacteria; Pseudomonadati; Pseudomonadota; Gammaproteobacteria; Vibrionales; Vibrionaceae.
UUAACGGCGUCGAGCGGCGGACGGGUGAGUAAUGCCUGGGAAAUUGCCCUGAUGUGGGGGAUAACCAUUGGAAACGAUGGCUAAUACCGCAUAAUAGCUUCGGCUCAAAGAGGGGGACCUUCGGGCCUCUCGCGUCAGGAUAUGCCCAGGUGGGAUUAGCUAGUUGGUGAGGUAAUGGCUCACCAAGGCGACGAUCCCUAGCUGGUCUGAGAGGAUGAUCAGCCACACUGGAACUGAGACACGGUCCAGACUCCUACGGGAGGCAGCAGUGGGGAAUAUUGCACAAUGGGCGCAAGCCUGAUGCAGCCAUGCCGCGUGUAUGAAGAAGGCCUUCGGGUUGUAAAGUACUUUCAGCAGUGAGGAAGGCGGAGUCGUUAAUAGCGGCCUCGUUUGACGUUAGCUGCAGAAGAAGCACCGGCUAACUCCGUGCCAGCAGCCGCGGUAAUACGGAGGGUGCGAGCGUUAAUCGGAAUUACUGGGCGUAAAGCGCAUGCAGGUGGUUUGUUAAGUCAGAUGUGAAAGCCCGGGGCUCAACCUCGGAAUUGCAUUUGAAACUGGCAAACUAGAGUACUGUAGAGGGGGGUAGAAUUUCAGGUGUAGCGGUGAAAUGCGUAGAGAUCUGAAGGAAUACCGGUGGCGAAGGCGGCCCCCUGGACAGAUACUGACACUCAGAUGCGAAAGCGUGGGGAGCAAACAGGAUUAGAUACCCUGGUAGUCCACGCCGUAAACGAUGUCUACUUGGAGGUUGUGGCCUUGAGCCGUGGCUUUCGGAGCUAACGCGUUAAGUAGACCGCCUGGGGAGUACGGUCGCAAGAUUAAAACUCAAAUGAAUUGACGGGGGCCCGCACAAGCGGUGGAGCAUGUGGUUUAAUUCGAUGCAACGCGAAGAACCUUACCUACUCUUGACAUCCAGAGAAUCCUACGGAGACGUGGGAGUGCCUUCGGGAACUCUGAGACAGGUGCUGCAUGGCUGUCGUCAGCUCGUGUUGUGAAAUGUUGGGUUAAGUCCCGCAACGAGCGCAACCCUUAUCCUUGUUUGCCAGCACUUCGG